Molecule: ribosomal RNA, 370 nt
Filed under: uncultured bacterium
Lineage: Bacteria
Description: bacterial SSU rRNA
Rfam family: Bacterial small subunit ribosomal RNA
Source: RNAcentral
UGUAAACCCCUGUUGGCGGGGACGAGGCAGGACGGUACCCGCCGAGGAAGCCCCGGCUAACUCCGUGCCAGCAGCCGCGGUAAGACGGAGGGGGCGAGCGUUGUCCGGAUUUACUGGGCGUAAAGGGCGUGUAGGCGGCGCGCUUGGUUGCCGGUGAAAGCCCCCGGCUCAACCGGGGAGGGUCCGGCAAGACGGGCGCGCUCGAGGCCGGCAGAGGCAGGUGGAAUUCCCGGUGGAGCGGUGAAAUGCGUAGAGAUCGGGAGGAACACCGGUGGCGAAGGCGGCCUGCUGGGCCGGGCCUGACGCUGAGGCGCGAAAGCGUGGGGAGCGAACCGGAUUAGAUACCCUGGUAGUCAAGGGCGAAUUCGUU